GCUUGAGUUGGGAAACCAGUUCUCCCACUUCAUUAAUAAUGAUGUCGAUGUUCCUGGCAGUGUUUAUACCAAAUGCUACUUUGACCUUUGCGCCUUGGCACACGACAGUAGCCUAUAUUUGCCAUUUUGUCUUCUUGACAUAGAAAGAGCAUGGGAACUGAAGGUUGUUUCAAGGUUGGAAGACAAAGACUUCUAUGGUACUGCCAACAAAAGGAAAAGGUCUUUGAGUUCUGAUGAUUUAAUUGAUCUUCAGUGCCUUAAGGCCAUCCUCUCCUGAAGGAAGAAGUGAGGGGUUAUAUAACAUCUGAACCCCUCAUCAAAAAAGACAGGAAAAUAUCACCUUUCCUGCUGAAGAACUAGAAAAGUACUUUCAAAAGAAGAAACACCUACAAUUCAAGUUAACUCAAGGACAACUAGGAUUGCACUUCAUAGAAAAGAAUGGGACCUUGUCAAUGCAACAACACACUCUUACACUCUUCUGUCCCUUUUAAUGUAAAGAGAGUUAUAAAAACCACUCCAAAGUGAAGGCUCCUAUGUGAGCUGAUAGCAGUGAACUAUGUAAGGGUUUAAAACAAUGGUUUAAAUUUUUAGAUUUUAAAGAUAACUUUUCUGUUUCUUUUAUAUUUUUCUUUCCCCCAAUAUUGCUGCAUAUGCAUUUAGCAUCAUAUUACCAUUAAAACAUAGGACUCUUAACAACUCAUAAAGCCACUAGGAGCAGAUGCAGCAUUGUCAGGUACUGAAGGGGCUCUUCCUUCCUACUCUUAGAAUCGAAGCUACUAGUUACUGGCAAUCAUUUUAAGCAAAAGCUUCUGGAUAACAUUUGCCAUUCAUAUCCUCUGUAAGCACUUCUUAUUAGCAGUUAGCAUGUUUGGGGUCAUAAAAAGAGAAAAUAUUGGUUAUUGAUUAUCUACUUUUAUUAGGGUCUGUGGUGUAUUUCUUGUGAACUAUAAUGGUUCUCAUUUGCUGAUAAAUUUUCUUAUUUUUUAAAUAAAGGUAUUAAAAGAUGUUUUCAUAGUGCCAAGCAACAUGGUGAUCCAGUGGUAAUAAAAAAUGAUAAAACAUGAGGUGUCCUGAAAGUUUCAGGACAGUUUUUAGCUUUAACAUAGUAUGCUUGUGCCCUCCAGAGCACUGAAGCAUACAUAUGCAGGCUAUAAACCUUUACAAAAUAUAAUUUGAAAUUUUAAUUGUAUUUCUUCUUUUUUUUUUUAAAUAGAUGUUGUCUCAGUAUGUUACCCAAUGUACAGUGCAAUGAUUAUUCAGAGGCACAGUCAUAGCAUACCACAGCCUGGAAAUCCUGGCCUCAAGCAAUCCUCCCAUGUCAGCCUACCAAGCAGCUGGGACUAUAGGUGUGUACCACCACCUCUGGCUUCAUUUUGCAGAAUUUGAAUAUUAAGCAUUUAACUUUUUGUCUCAUCAAUAUCUGCUAUCGUCAAGAAGGACUGAAACAAAAAAUUAAAGGUUAAUAUUCAGGAGCUAGGCAUGCCUGUAGUCCCAGCUACUCAUAAGGCUUAAAUGGCAGGAUCACUUGAGGCCUAGCAUUGGAGGCUGCAGUGCGCUGUGAUUGUGCCUGGAAAUAGCCAUUGCACUCCAGCCUUGGCAACAUACUGAGACCCUGUCACUCUAAAAAAUGGCAAAACUAAAUAAAGGUAAAAGAAAUAUAACAAACCUUUCAGUGAUGCUUUGUAAAUAUUUGUAGCAUUGAUACUUCUACAAGUAUCAAAGCUUAAAAUUACACUAAGCCUUUUGGAAUUGUUGUAUUUUUAUAAAGUGCCCUUUUCUCUUUUGAAGUAGUUCUUUGCAGGGCUUUCAUCUGCAUUGAUCACCCAAAAUUAUUUUCUCUAGAUGUGAUACAGAAUAGGAUCAGUUUUAAUGCACAUGUAACAAAUUUGAAGGAACUGGACCUUAAUAGUAGUAGAUGAUCUAAUACAUUUUAUUAUCCCGCAUGUUAACCUGGAGGCAGGUAUCAUAUUUUAUGUCCAUAAACCUUAGGAACCUUACCUCCUAAAAAAAUUAUCAUUUAUGGAGUGCAGAGCUUAGAGAUUGAAGUAUUGACUGCAGUUUUAUUUUCAAAAGGUAAAUGCUACAAUUUAUGUGGUUUUUAUUUCUCAUGUUUACAUUAAAAGAAAACCUAAUAAACU
Molecule: long non-coding RNA, 2138 nt
Filed under: Homo sapiens (human)
Lineage: Eukaryota; Metazoa; Chordata; Mammalia; Primates; Hominidae
Description: non-protein coding lnc-NUTM2G-4:1
Source: RNAcentral